UGUUCUGGCACUCUCCAUGCAGGAACUGCAGGUGGUCAGCCACCAUCCUCUGCUGGCAUUCAUGGAUCACUUUGGCAUAGGAGCUUGGAUGCAGAAUAAUGCGGGCACCUCUCUUCUGCAACCUCAGUAAUCUGUCGAGGCUUGUCUUGUCAGCAUUAGACCAGAUCACAUCACAGUAUUCCUGAAGAGGCUGAACCAAAAAGCCGUGAAGAUAUUUGCACGUGUCCACACAGGACCAAAGUGUGCCAAGAAAGCCUUCCCUACACCAUUACACCACCUCCACCAGCCUCGACUGUUGACGCAAGGUAUGUUGGGUCCACGGAUUCAUGAUGCUGGUGCCAAAUUCUGACCCAGGGGUCAACAUUAAUGGUCGUCCGACUGUCCGGGACAACCAAAUGUUUGGUCCGGACAACUCCAAUCUGCAUCUGCCUGUCCGACGGGACAAGUUGAGUAUUUGUUGAAAAUCACCAUUUUUAUCGUAAUUAUUCCAGAGUUACAUCAAUAAAGUUCCAACAAAACUCGUUCAAUCCCCUCAAUGAUCCAGCCGUGUUAUUGUUUACAAAAUUCCGGGAAACCAAGUACAGCAGGUGUGUGCGUGUGUGUGUGUGUGUGUGUGUAUAAAAAUAACCACAUAGUAAUAUCUAAUUAUUAUUAUUAUUAUUAUAAUACUUUGAAUUCAUCAAAAUCGGACAAAUGUCUAUCAAAAAGCUCAAUAAAAUAAAUAUCUGUGGUGACUUCAUUUCGUUCAGACAUUCACUGAAUUUUGUCGUUCGGUUCAUAUUAACCAUCAAAAAUGUCGUAAAAUAUUUCAUGGGAAUUUUAUGACCGUGCCAAACUCACUUACGGUUUGUUUUCAUUCAGAACAUAAUUGUGUCACCCUUAUGUCCAACUUGGGUUUUUUUUUUUCAGUUUCAUUUUGUCAAAAGAAAGUCUUUCAUUCGAAACUCACAUUGAUAACAUUACCCGGAUAGCUUUCUUUCAUCUCAGAAAUAUUGCAAAGAUAAGAAAUUUAAUGUCAUUGCAUGAUGCAGAAAAACUAGUC
This is a long non-coding RNA of Neoarius graeffei (lesser salmon catfish), 1042 nucleotides long. RefSeq lists it as uncharacterized. The transcript is spliced from 3 exons. The record is from RefSeq and is a predicted model, not a curated record. Lineage: Eukaryota; Metazoa; Chordata; Actinopteri; Siluriformes; Ariidae.